Molecule: long non-coding RNA, 338 nt
Organism: Perognathus longimembris pacificus (Pacific pocket mouse)
Lineage: Eukaryota; Metazoa; Chordata; Mammalia; Rodentia; Heteromyidae
Exons: 3
Source: RefSeq, a predicted model, not a curated record
AAAGACCUAAUGAUUGACAGAGCUCUAGAUGGGACUCUGUCUCUGUCUCUCUGUCUUUCUCAGAUAGAGAUUACAUGUAUCUUUUACCCAACUUCCCUAACAGUAACAAUCUUACAAAACUGUAAUACAAUAUUACAAGCCUGCAUACUGACAUUGAUACAAGGAAGAUACAAAAUAGUUCCCUUACUCUAAUCACCCUCCCAUCACAACUUUGUAACUCACCCUGCCUUAAUAUACUACUCAUCUGUUCAACAUUUCUAAAAUUUUGAUCAUUUUAAGAAUAUUAUAUAGGAAUCUGGCACUGGUGGCUCAGUCCUGCAAUCCUAGCUACUCAGGAG